RNAcentral lists this ribosomal RNA (499 nucleotides) under uncultured bacterium. RNAcentral describes it as "SSU rRNA". It matches the Rfam family "Bacterial small subunit ribosomal RNA", at positions 26 to 521 of the family's 1533-position model. The record is from RNAcentral.
AGGAUGAACGCUAGCGGCAGGCUUAAUACAUGCAAGUCGAGGGGCAGCACGGGUAGCAAUACCUGGUGGCGACCGGCAAACGGGUGCGGAACACGUACGCAACCUUCCCAUAACUGGUGAAUAGCCUUCCGAAAGGAAGAUUAAUACACCGUAAUAUAAUGAAGUGGCAUCACUUUAUUAUCAUAGGCUUCGGCCGGUUUUGGAUGGGCGUGCGCCUGAUUAGGUAGUUGGCGGGGUAACGGCCCACCAAGCCUGCGAUCAGUAACUGGUGUGAGAGCACGACCAGUCACACGGGCACUGAGACACGGGCCCGACUCCUACGGGAGGCAGCAGUAAGGAAUAUUGGUCAAUGGACGAAAAGUCUGAACCAGCCAUGCCGCGUGAAGGAUUAAGGCCCUCUGGGUUGUAAACUUCUUUUAUCUGGACGAAAAAAGGGUAUUCUUACUCAUUGACGGUACAGAAGAAUAAGCACGGCUAACUCCGUGCUAGCAGCCGCGGU